This 410-nucleotide ribosomal RNA is filed under the name uncultured bacterium. RNAcentral's name for it is "bacterial SSU rRNA". It matches the Rfam family "Bacterial small subunit ribosomal RNA", at positions 355 to 775 of the family's 1533-position model. The record is from RNAcentral.
UCGAGGAUCUUCGGCAAUGGGCGCAAGCCUGACCGAGCGACGCCGCGUGGGCGAUGAAGGCCUUCGGGUUGUAAAGCCCUGUCGAGGGGGAGAAAGGCGCAAGCUUGAUCUAUCCCUGGAGGAAGCACGGGCUAAGUUCGUGCCAGCAGCCGCGGUAAGACGAACCGUGCGAACGUUGUUCGGAAUCACUGGGCUUAAAGGGCGCGUAGGCGGGCUGCCAAGUCCGGGGUGAAAUCCUCCGGCUCAACCGGAGAACGGCCCCGGAUACUGGCGGCCUCGAGGGGGGUAGGGGCAUGCGGAACUCUGGGUGGAGCGGUGAAAUGCGUUGAUAUCCAGAGGAACUCCGGUGGCGAAGGCGGCGUGCUGGACCCCUUCUGACGCUGAGGCGCGAAAGCCAGGGGAGCAAACGG